CCAAAUAAAUUUUAUUUUUUCCCAAACAUAUAUUUUGGGAUUGUGACUAAAGGGUGGAGUGGGUGUUACCUAGGCUAAUAGGUUAAAUUCACUUCAUUUUAAAGAUUCAGAAUGCAAAAGCCCAUUCUAGGUAUUGGGUGCCGACUAAUUCUGAUAAUAAUCCAUUGUAAAUCUGUGUUGGCUACAGAGUAUUAACUGUUUAGUAGCAGUCAUUUUUAACAAGCCCAUAACAUUGCCAUUACAUGAAUUAUACAUGGUUUAUAA
This 264-nucleotide long non-coding RNA is filed under the name Bos taurus (domestic cattle). RNAcentral describes it as "long non-coding RNA NONBTAT022779". Lineage: Eukaryota; Metazoa; Chordata; Mammalia; Artiodactyla; Bovidae. The record is from RNAcentral.